CUUUUAUUAAAUUAUUUAUUGGGCUUGGACCCUAAUUUACCCCAAGACAUUAGGCAAAUACAACAUUUAGCUCCUAACUUAAAUACGUACAAGUUAACAAAUGAAGAAGGGAUUUAAGAAAAUAACAUGUUAUUCUACAGAGCAACUGGCUUCAGUAUUUAACACGCCCUUCAAGCAUCUUCACCAAGAUAAAACUAAAAGAAUUAGCCCCGUCAUCUCUAUUUCUCUACAUACCAAGAUAUAAAUAUCCAUUAAGACCCAUUUUCUCUGUGCAACGAGAACUCUCUGCAACUUUCACUUCCUAUUGACAGUUCUAGAUGUCCAUCACAAGUUAUGAACAUCAUCCUCCCAUACAACUAAAUUUGUUACAAACAUCAUUCUCCUGGAAAAGAUCAAGAAUGCUAUAUUAAAACUCGCUGAAAAUCUAAUUUUAUCAAAUAUUAGCACUUCUCCAACUCUUCAUGGACAAACCAAUACUCUUUUUCCAGCCAACCAAGCACUGAGAAUUUUUAAUUUAGCAAUAAGAUUUAAACCUUUGAAACAAAAUCUAACAAAGAUUAUUUUUUCCUUUAUCGUUGCUAAAAGAAAAUCAUUAAAAUACAUCAACUUGAGUAUACGUUUGCAAAAUUAAACAAGUGAACCAAUAAUUCAAGCCCAAAACAAUUUCAUACUAGCCCAAGAAUCUUUCAGGAUUCAAUCCAUCAUAAAAGGAAGAAGAAAAUCAUAAAACUAUAUUAUAUUUCAAAGAGGGCAAAUAAAAGGGUGCUGAAAAUUUACUUCUUCAGAUACAUUUCUUGUAGAGGAUACGAUAACCGCACUUGCGGAGCUGAAUUACAUCAUCUGGCUUCAGCGUGUUCUCUUGGCUGCAAUAUGCAAACCCAUUUCAACAUAAUUCAAUCAGAUUAAAAAAAGACACUCAAAUUUGUAUCCAUGUAUGUUAACA
RNAcentral lists this long non-coding RNA (943 nucleotides) under Olea europaea subsp. europaea. Lineage: Eukaryota; Viridiplantae; Streptophyta; Magnoliopsida; Lamiales; Oleaceae. The record is from RNAcentral.